This 254-nucleotide ribosomal RNA is filed under the name uncultured bacterium. Its description in RNAcentral is "partial 16S ribosomal RNA". It matches the Rfam family "Bacterial small subunit ribosomal RNA", at positions 524 to 776 of the family's 1533-position model. The record is from RNAcentral.
UACGUAGGGGGCGAGCGUUGUCCGGAUUCAUUGGGCGUAAAGAGCUCGUAGGCGGUUCGGCAAGUCGGGUGUGAAAACUCCAGGCUCAACCUGGAGACGCCACCCGAUACUGCUGUGACUCGAGUCCGGUAGGGGACCACGGAAUUCCUGGUGUAGCGGUGAAAUGCGCAGAUAUCGGGAGGAACACCUGUGGCGAAGGCGGCCAUCUGGACGGUAACUGACGCUGAGACGCGAAAGCGUGGGUAGCAAACAGG